Molecule: ribosomal RNA, 467 nt
Filed under: uncultured bacterium
Lineage: Bacteria
Description: partial 16S ribosomal RNA
Rfam family: Bacterial small subunit ribosomal RNA
Source: RNAcentral
GACGAACGCUGGCGGCGUGCUUAACACAUGCAAGUCGAACGGAAAGGCCUCUUUCGGGGGGUACUCGAGUGGCGAACGGGUGAUUAACACGUGAGUAACCUGCCCUUGACUUUGGGAUAACUUCAGGAAACUGGGGCUAAUACCGGAUAGGAGCUCCUGCUGCAUGGUGGGGGUUGGAAAGUUUCGGCGGUUGGGGAUGGACUCGCGGCUUAUCAGCUUGUUGGUGGGGUAGUGGCUUACCAAGGCUUUGACGGGUAGCCGGCCUGAGAGGGUGACCGGCCACAUUGGGACUGAGAUACGGCCCAGACUCCUACGGGAGGCAGCAGUGGGGAAUAUUGCACAAUGGGUGGAAGCCUGAUGCAGCAACGCCGUGUGCGGGAUGACGGCCUUCGGGUUGGAAACCGCUUUCGCUCAUGACGAAGCUUUGUGUGACGGUAGUGGGUAAAGAAGCACCGGCUAACUACGUG